GAGAAACGCUGGCGGCGCACAUAAGACAUGCAAGUCGAACGGAAUUUAGUCGAAUGUUUACAUGAGACGAAAAUUUAGUGGCGGACGGGUGAGUAACACGUGAGCAACCUGCCUUUAAGAGGGGGAUAACAUUGAGAAAUCAGUGCUAAUACCGCAUAAAGCUAUCAUACCGCAUGAUAAGAUAGCCAAAGGAGAAAUCCGCUUAAAGAUGGGCUCGCGGCUGAUUAGUUAGUUGGUGGGGUAACGGCCUACCAAGACGAUGAUCAGUAGCCGAGCUGAGAGGCACAACGGCCACAUUGGGACUGAGACACGGCCCAGACUCCUACGGGAGGCAGCAGUCGGGAAUAUUGCACAAUGGAGGAAACUCUGAUGCAGUGACGCCGCGUAUAGGAAGAAGGUCUUGGAUUGUAAACUAUUGUCGACAGGGAAGAAGAAAAUGACAGUACCUGUGGAGGAAGCUCCGGCUAACUACGUGCCAGCA
This 481-nucleotide ribosomal RNA is filed under the name uncultured bacterium. RNAcentral describes it as "bacterial SSU rRNA". It matches the Rfam family "Bacterial small subunit ribosomal RNA", at positions 32 to 513 of the family's 1533-position model. The record is from RNAcentral.